AUGCAAGUAGAACGCUGAAGGAGGAGCUUGCUCUCUCUGGAUGAGUUGCGAACGGGUGAGUAACGCGUAGGUAACCUGCCUGGUAGCGGGGGAUAACUAUUGGAAACGAUAGCUAAUACCGCAUAACAGUAGAUGUUGCAUGACAUUUGCUUAAAAGGUGCAAUUGCAUCACUACCAGAUGGACCUGCGUUGUAUUAGCUAGUUGGUGGGGUUACGGCUCACCAAGGCGACGAUACAUAGCCGACCUGAGAGGGUGAUCGGCCACACUGGGACUGAGACACGGCCCAAACUCCUACGGGAGGCAGCAGUAGGGAAUCUUCGGCAAUGGACGGAAGUCUGACCGAGCAACGCCGCGUGAGUGAAGAAGGUUUUCGGAUCGUAAAGCUCUGUUGUAAGAGAAGAACGAGUGUGAGAGUGGAAAGUUCACACUGUGACGGUAUCUUACCAGAAAGGGACGGCUAACUACGUGCCAGCAGCCGCGGUAAUACGUAGGUCCCGAGCGUUGUCCGGAUUUAUUGGGCGUAAAGCGAGCGCAGGCGGUUAGAUAAGUCUGAAGUUAAAGGCUGUGGCUUAACCAUAGUACGCUUUGGAAACUGUUUAACUUGAGUGCAAGAGGGGAGAGUGGAAUUCCAUGUGUAGCGGUGAAAUGCGUAGAUAUAUGGAGGAACACCGGUGGCGAAAGCGGCUCUCUGGCUUGUAACUGACGCUGAGGCUCGAAAGCGUGGGGAGCAAACAGGAUUAGAUACCCUGGUAGUCCACGCCGUAAACGAUGAGUGCUAGGUGUUAGACCCUUUCCGGGGUUUAGUGCCGUAGCUAACGCAUUAAGCACUCCGCCUGGGGAGUACGACCGCAAGGUUGAAACUCAAAGGAAUUGACGGGGGCCCGCACAAGCGG
RNAcentral lists this ribosomal RNA (894 nucleotides) under uncultured bacterium. RNAcentral describes it as "bacterial SSU rRNA". It matches the Rfam family "Bacterial small subunit ribosomal RNA", at positions 55 to 932 of the family's 1533-position model. The record is from RNAcentral.